AUGGUGGAUCUUUGGUCAGAAUCUUCCUCCUCAGGUGAUGAAGCAUUGAAAAUCACUAGUUUAGAGGAGGAAACAGAAGCUAUGGAUUCAUGGAAAAUUUCCGAGGACAAGGCAUGUGAUAUUGGAGUUUCAAUCUUUGGAAUGGGUGGCAUCGGUAAAGUUUCUCUUCAUUGUCCAGGAUGUAGAAGAGAGCUGGGAGUUGUUCUGCAACGAGGAAUUCUAAUAGUUUUCUUCGAGCAUCCGCAGGAAAUAUAAGUUUAUAGAGAAAAUUGCUAAUUUUCAGGUUAGAAGAAAAUAA
This 298-nucleotide long non-coding RNA is filed under the name Prunus dulcis (almond). RNAcentral's name for it is "sRNA ncRNA". The record is from RNAcentral. Lineage: Eukaryota; Viridiplantae; Streptophyta; Magnoliopsida; Rosales; Rosaceae.